Molecule: unclassified non-coding RNA, 358 nt
Filed under: soil metagenome
Description: partial contains 5.8S ribosomal RNA, internal transcribed spacer 2, and large subunit ribosomal RNA
Rfam family: 5.8S ribosomal RNA (bases 1-120)
Source: RNAcentral
GAUGAAGAACGAAGCGAAAUGCGAUAAGUAAUGUGAAUUGCAGAAUUCAGUGAAUCAUCGAAUCUUUGAACGCACAUUGCGCCCGUCAGUAUUCUGGCGGGCAUGCCUGUUCGAGCGUCAUUACGCCCCUCAAGUCCCCUGUGGACUUGGUGUUGGGGAUCGGCGAGGCUGGUUUUCCAGCACAGCCGUCCCUUAAAUUAAUUGGCGGUCUCGCCGUGGCCCUCCUCUGCGCAGUAGUAAAACACUCGCAACAGGAGCCCGGCGCGGUCCACUGCCGUAAAACCCCCCAACUUUUUAUAGUUGACCUCGAAUCAGGUAGGACUACCCGCUGAACUUAAGCAUAUCAAUAAGCGGAGGA